GUUCUUGUGUAUAAUUCGGAGUUUAGUAUGACGUCCAUUAUCACUGUACUAUUAUGCAUAUUUUAGGGGCCAGCUGAAGGACACCUACGGGUGCGGGAAUCCUCGCUACAUUGAAGACCCAUUGGUUGCCUUCGGCUGUUGUUUGCUCUAUGGUCGGGUGGUUGUCGCUUUGACAUAUUCACCAUUUCCUUUCUCAAUUUUAUUUCUAAC
RNAcentral lists this long non-coding RNA (210 nucleotides) under Mytilus galloprovincialis (Mediterranean mussel). Lineage: Eukaryota; Metazoa; Mollusca; Bivalvia; Mytilida; Mytilidae. The record is from RNAcentral.